ACAAAUAGAAAACAAACAAACAACACCAAUGACUAGAUCAGAGAAGCGAACUUCUCUUCUCUUUUAUUUAUAAUUAAUUUAUUUAUUAAACAUUAACCAGCGUAAUAGUACAGCCACAUACAGAAAAACACAGUCCCACAAUUGUGCUUAUGCUGCUGCUGCUGCUUCUGCAAAGUCUGCUGCUCCACCAACACAGUUUCCAUUUUCUUCCCAGCAAGAAACCAGAAGCAGAAGAAGAAGAAAAGAAAUACUAAAAUAGAGCCAUCCAAUCCAAAAUCUGUACUUUUCCCCCCCAUUUCUAUCCUGCUUCUUCUUCCCAUUUGUUUAUAUCUUCUCCUUCUCACUUGAACAGAAAAGAAAGAUCCAAACCAUCAUUACCACCUAACCAAAACUCCACUUUUUCUUUUCGAAAUCCAGGUUGGUCAACAAAAUGUGUCUUAACUCUUAAACCCUACUGAACAAUCUGGAGAAAGUCUCUCUGUUUUUCUUUAAUUAGCUUGUUUCAUCCUUCCAAAGCAUCGAAGAUGUCGACUUUAAGCAGUACCCAGUUGGAAAGGGAGCAGCAUCAGCAUCAUUUCAGCCCCAGCAGUAGUGACGUGUCGUCCUUCUUUGGGGCGAACCAUAGGAACUCCAC
RNAcentral lists this long non-coding RNA (634 nucleotides) under Linum usitatissimum (flax). Its description in RNAcentral is "long non-coding RNA (LUSI_LNC001964)". Lineage: Eukaryota; Viridiplantae; Streptophyta; Magnoliopsida; Malpighiales; Linaceae. The record is from RNAcentral.